UUCAAUAUUUAGGGCGGGGCAUAUUUCAUAAUCAUAACGCCUCAUAUUCAUAAGUGACAUGUGGCCGCGGCCGCGGGCUCCAGACGCCGGUGGGCGGUGUUGACGCCCGCUAGAUGGCGACCGACGUUCGCCCCGCGAAGCCUCCCACAUUCGCUAAUUGAAGCUACACUUUAUGGACGCGGGUCAGCAGCUGCGCGGUAAUUAAGAGGUGGCUGGAAGUGGCAUGCGCCGGCGCACAAUGCGGUUCAAUUGAAUGAGAAUAAUCUUUGCACCCACGCUUCCUUUGUGCGUGGGUGGACCGCUGACCAUUCGGUGAACGAGCGAUCGGUCACCUAUCUGAUUUUUGGGACAAAUGGCAAAACAAUAAUUCGUACCCUUGCGACUGAGCUAAUAACAAUAAAAUAGAAAAGCGAUCACGAACACGGGGUGGCGACUGGUUCAAUCAACGAGAGUCAGAUUUAUUUUUAUGAAAAUUGGCAUAAAAUCGGACGGGUCAGGGAGGCGCAGUGGCCCCGCGAGACCUCACGCCCGAUCGUUUACUGCAUAUCGUUUCCUCCGAGCUAUCUGCCUCUUGGAAAUAUUGCCAGUGGUCAUAACUUUUUAUAUGCAGCGAUGACAUUGCAGAAAAUUGCGGUUGGAUUUUGUUGAGUCGUUACUCUUCAGAUUCAAUCAGUACGUGUGAGUAACUUGCUUGUAUUUGCAAAUAGUAUUCGAGUCAUGUUUUAUUUUAACUAGUUGUAUAAUUUUAUGAUGCAUUUUAUGCACUAGCGCAGAUCUCAUCUUAUAGAGUGUUAGACAAUAAUUAGUAUGUUAUUAAAAAGUCUAAAUAUUUUUAAGUGGUUGGUUUGAU
This is a long non-coding RNA of Zerene cesonia (dogface butterfly), 850 nucleotides long. RefSeq lists it as uncharacterized. The record is from RefSeq and is a predicted model, not a curated record. NCBI's taxonomy places the organism in Eukaryota, Metazoa, Arthropoda, Insecta, Lepidoptera, Pieridae. The transcript has 3 exons.